ACAGGUGCUGCAUGGCCGUCGUCAGCUCGUGUCGUGAGAUGUUGGGUUAAGUCCCGUAACGAGCGCAACCCUUGUCCUUAGUUGCCAGCACGUAAUGGUGGGAACUCUAGGGAGACUGCCGGUGACAAACCGGAGGAAGGUGGGGACGACGUCAGUUCUUUCAUGCUCCUUACGACUUGGGCUACACACGCGCUACAAUGGCUGGUACAGAGGGUCGCGAAGUCGCGAGGCGAAGCUAAUCCCUUAAAGCCAGUCGUAGUCCGGAUCGGAGUCUGCAACUCGACUCCGUGAAGUCGGAAUCGCUAGUAAUCGCGGAUCAGAAUGCCGCGGUGAAUACGUUCCCGGGCCUUGUACACACCGCCCGUCACACCAUGGGAGUGGAUUGCA
This 387-nucleotide ribosomal RNA is filed under the name uncultured Gammaproteobacteria bacterium. RNAcentral describes it as "bacterial SSU rRNA". It matches the Rfam family "Bacterial small subunit ribosomal RNA", at positions 1034 to 1419 of the family's 1533-position model. Lineage: Bacteria; Pseudomonadati; Pseudomonadota; Gammaproteobacteria. The record is from RNAcentral.